GCACAGAGAAGGUUUUUGGAAGGAAAGCCAGGAUGAUGAAAUCACCAUAUGUCCACCAUUUGGAGCUCUGGACUUUUCAAAGGACACACCCCUGGCCAUUCGCAGAAGCCCACAUGGAGUCCACGGCAGGCUGGCUUUUCCCCGUCCCCUGUACUUAGCAUCUGGGUGCCACAUGUUGUCCUUCUGCUGCCCAGCACUGGCCUAGGCCUGGAACCUGGAUAAAUGCAAGCUUGGAACAAGGAUGGGACAAAAUGAACACAGGACCAAACAGAAUCAAGCACCAGAUGGGCGGGGAGUGCCCAGGGCCAGUCCCAGCUCUGCUCACGCAGGCCUCAGCAGGACUCAGUUUCCCCUCUGCUGUACCAUGUGGGGAUGGAGUCUGAAGGGCUGGGCAGAGGGUGGUGGAUCUUAUCUGAGGACUCGGCAGUGCCCAAGGUUCACACAGGGAGUGACCCAGAGGCCUCUCCAGUUGGCCCUUGACUGCUGAC
This 488-nucleotide long non-coding RNA is filed under the name Equus caballus (horse). Its description in RNAcentral is "lncRNA (ENSECAG00000056495.1)". The record is from RNAcentral. Lineage: Eukaryota; Metazoa; Chordata; Mammalia; Perissodactyla; Equidae.